RNAcentral lists this ribosomal RNA (253 nucleotides) under uncultured bacterium. RNAcentral describes it as "partial 16S ribosomal RNA". It matches the Rfam family "Bacterial small subunit ribosomal RNA", at positions 524 to 776 of the family's 1533-position model. The record is from RNAcentral.
UACGUAGGGUGCAAGCGUUGUCCGGAAUUAUUGGGCGUAAAGAGCUCGUAGGCGGUCUGUUGCGUCGGCUGUGAAAACCCGGGGCUCAACUCCGGGCCUGCAGCCGAUACGGGCAGACUAGAGUUCGGCAGGGGAGACUGGAAUUCCUGGUGUAGCGGUGAAAUGCGCAGAUAUCAGGAGGAACACCGGUGGCGAAGGCGGGUCUCUGGGCCAAUACUGACGCUGAGGAGCGAAAGCGUGGGGAGCGAACAGG